CCGAGUCUUAACUGGGCGUUAAGUUGCAGGGUAUAGACCCGAAACCCGGUGAUCUAGCCAUGGGCAGGUUGAAGGUUGGGUAACACUAACUGGAGGACCGAACCGACUAAUGUUGAAAAAUUAGCGGAUGACUUGUGGCUGGGGGUGAAAGGCCAAUCAAACCGGGAGAUAGCUGGUUCUCCCCGAAAGCUAUUUAGGUAGCGCCUCGUGAACUCAUCUUCGGGGGUAGAGCACUGUUUCGGCUAGGGGGUCAUCCCGACUUACCAACCCGAUGCAAACUACGAAUACCGAAGAAUGUUAUCACGGGAGACACACGGCGGGUGCUAACGUCCGUCGUGAAGAGGGAAACAACCCAGACCGCCAGCUAAGGUCCCAAAGUCACAGUUAAGUGGGAAACGAUGUGGGAAGGCACAGACAGCCAGGAUGUUGGCUUAGAAGCAGCCAUCAUUUAAAGAAAGCGUAAUAGCUCACUGGUCGAGUCGGCCUGCGCGGAAGAUGUAACGGGGCUAAACUGUGCACCGAAGCUGCGGCAGCGACACUAUGUGUUGUUGGGUAGGGGAGCGUUCUGUAAGCCUGCGAAGGUGGCCUGUGAGGGUUGCUGGAGGUAUCAGAAGUGCGAAUGCUGACAUAAGUAACGAUAAUGCGGGUGAAAAGCCCGCACGCCGGAAGACCAAGGGUUCCUGUCCAACGUUAAUCGGGGCAGGGUGAGUCGACCCCUAAGGCGAGGCCGAAAGGCGUAGUCGAUGGGAAACAGGUUAAUAUUCCUGUACUUGGUGUUACUGCGAAGGGGGGACGGAGAAGGCUAUGUUAGCCGGGCGACGGUUGUCCCGGUUUAAGCAUGUAGGCGGAGGUUCCAGGUAAAUCCGGUACCUUUUAACGCUGAGGUGUGAUGACGAGGCACUACGGUGCUGAAGUAACAA
This 920-nucleotide ribosomal RNA is filed under the name Klebsiella aerogenes. Its description in RNAcentral is "partial 23S ribosomal RNA". It matches the Rfam family "Bacterial large subunit ribosomal RNA", at positions 677 to 1596 of the family's 2925-position model. The record is from RNAcentral. Lineage: Bacteria; Pseudomonadati; Pseudomonadota; Gammaproteobacteria; Enterobacterales; Enterobacteriaceae.